AUUAAAUGUUUUUCUACGUGU
This 21-nucleotide microRNA is filed under the name Gyrodactylus salaris (gyrodactylosis fluke). RNAcentral describes it as "gsa-miR-9392-5p". The record is from miRBase by way of RNAcentral. Lineage: Eukaryota; Metazoa; Platyhelminthes; Monogenea; Gyrodactylidea; Gyrodactylidae.